AUAGCGUAUAUUAAAGUUGUUGCAGUUAAAAAGCUCGUAGUUGAAUUUGGGCCCUAGCUGGGCGGUCCGUCUAACGGCGAGUACUGCCUUUCAAGCUGGGGCUUAUCCUCUUGUGUGAACCCAGUCGUACUUUGUGCGGUUGGGGGAACCAGGGAAAUUACUUUGAAAAAAUUAGAGUGUUCAAAGCAGGCCUCACGGCUCGAAUAGAUUAGCAUGGAAUAAGGGAACAGGACGUUGCGGUCCCGUUUCGUUGGUUUUUGGGAUCGCCGUAAUGAUUAAUAGGGACGGUCGGGGGCAUUAGUAUUCACAAGCUAGAGGUGAAAUUCUUGGAUUUUGUGAAGACUAACUUCUG
RNAcentral lists this ribosomal RNA (352 nucleotides) under uncultured eukaryote. RNAcentral's name for it is "SSU rRNA". It matches the Rfam family "Eukaryotic small subunit ribosomal RNA", at positions 594 to 945 of the family's 1831-position model. The record is from RNAcentral.